UACGUAGGUCCCGAGCGUUGUCCGGAUUUAUUGGGCGUAAAGCGAGCGCAGGUGGUUUAUUAAGUCUGGUGUAAAAGGCAGUGGCUCAACCAUUGUAUGCAUUGGAAACUGGUAGACUUGAGUGCAGGAGAGGAGAGUGGAAUUCCAUGUGUAGCGGUGAAAUGCGUAGAUAUAUGGAGGAACACCGGUGGCGAAAGCGGCUCUCUGGCCUGUAACUGACACUGGGGCUCGAAAGCGUGGGGAGCGAACAGG
RNAcentral lists this ribosomal RNA (252 nucleotides) under uncultured bacterium. Its description in RNAcentral is "partial 16S ribosomal RNA". It matches the Rfam family "Bacterial small subunit ribosomal RNA", at positions 524 to 776 of the family's 1533-position model. The record is from RNAcentral.